This 364-nucleotide long non-coding RNA is filed under the name Brassica napus (rape). RNAcentral's name for it is "long non-coding RNA (BNAP_LNC025169)". The record is from RNAcentral. Lineage: Eukaryota; Viridiplantae; Streptophyta; Magnoliopsida; Brassicales; Brassicaceae.
UUGGAAAAGGCACCAACGGAAUUCGCUGAAGGGAGCAAGGAUAACAUAGAUGUUGGACGUGCAAAGAAGGGUGGUGAGAGGGCAGAGCAAACUUCAUCGGAAGGGAGUAGCACUGAGGGUGGGUGUCUUUAAAAUGUUUAGUUUGGGAAAGGGAAAGGGCUUAGCAAGUUGGGUCUCCUUGUUGUCGCAUGUAUCCUGUGUGGUUGCUGGUUCUGUAAUAUGUUUGGGUCGCUAGUGUUUUCUUUGGAUUGUAUGAUGUGCCUGUUAGACUGCUAAGUCAUAUGUAAGCGUUGUUGUAGUUCUGUUGUCGCGCUAAAUGAAAAGAAUCUUUGUUAUAUUACGGUCAAAUGGAACAUCUAAAUGG